UUUUAUGGAGAGUUUGAUCCUGGCUCAGGAUGAACGCUGGCGGCGUGCCUAAUACAUGCAAGUCGAGCGAACAGACGAGGAGCUUGCUCCUCUGACGUUAGCGGCGGACGGGUGAGUAACACGUGGAUAACCUACCUAUAAGACUGGGAUAACUUCGGGAAACCGGAGCUAAUACCGGAUAAUAUAUUGAACCGCAUGGUUCAAUAGUGAAAGACGGUUUUGCUGUCACUUAUAGAUGGAUCCGCGCCGCAUUAGCUAGUUGGUAAGGUAACGGCUUACCAAGGCAACGAUGCGUAGCCGACCUGAGAGGGUGAUCGGCCACACUGGAACUGAGACACGGUCCAGACUCCUACGGGAGGCAGCAGUAGGGAAUCUUCCGCAAUGGGCGAAAGCCUGACGGAGCAACGCCGCGUGAGUGAUGAAGGUCUUCGGAUCGUAAAACUCUGUUAUUAGGGAAGAACAAAUGUGUAAGUAACUAUGCACGUCUUGACGGUACCUAAUCAGAAAGCCACGGCUAACUACGUGCCAGCAGCCGCGGUAAUACGUAGGUGGCAAGCGUUAUCCGGAAUUAUUGGGCGUAAAGCGCGCGUAGGCGGUUUUUUAAGUCUGAUGUGAAAGCCCACGGCUCAAC
Molecule: ribosomal RNA, 631 nt
Filed under: Listeria monocytogenes
Lineage: Bacteria; Bacillati; Bacillota; Bacilli; Caryophanales; Listeriaceae
Description: bacterial SSU rRNA
Rfam family: Bacterial small subunit ribosomal RNA
Source: RNAcentral